GGUAAACACAAAAUUAAAAACAUUUAUAGCUUUCUGGGUUUUUUAAAAUCAUUAUUAUUAUAUUAUGAAGAUUCAAAGUUUAAAAAGACAGAGUGCUAAUGUAGCGUAGCUAAACAGCCCAACGCCGUCUGCUGAGAGUGGACCUCUUAUGUUGCCAAGGUGCUGACGGUAAAAAUACCCAGAGGAACCUUACAAGCCAAUGGGUGCCAUCAUGGUGGCUACGUCAUCGUUUACACUGCCAAAGCUGUGAGUUUGCACAGUCCCAGCAGCACACCUUCAUCGCAGCGUCCACCGAUGGAGACACGGUUGGAGAGGCGGCUGGAGCGUGCCCUGUUUCACACAGAGAGAAGUGGCUCCUCAGAGGCGCAGCUGCUGAGCAGACCACGGAGAAUAAUGUGCACACAAAAAACAGGAUAAAACCUUUGGUGAGGAUUUGAGCUUCACUUGAGAAAACAUCACGACAAAUGCAAAAGAAAUCAGUUUAAAGUUGAGAAAAAGAAUUGUCGAUGUUCAUAAAGCAGGAAAUGGAUAUUCAAAGUUAUCACUGCGUUUCCAAGUGUCAAGAACUGGAGUGAGAAGUACCAUCAAGAAAUUCAGAGCCAAACAGUACAGAACAAGCCUGGCAGAGGUAGGAAGUGAAAGAUUGAAACGCCUCUGUAAAGAAAACUGGUGAGAGAUGUGUCUGAAGACCCCAGAACAACUGCCAAGACACAAGUGCAUGACUUAGCCAAGACGAACCAAGAAAAGACAAUUACUAGGACCCACUUCUGGAGAAGAGGCACCUUCAAGCCAGACUGAAGUAUGCUUCAGUCUGGCUCAAAGUUGCACAACCUGGAGAAUGAGUAUGCAUACUCAUGUGCUUUGAACAGAUGAGAUAAGACCGGAGCUUUUUGGCUACAGAGAUGCUGCUUAUGUUUGAGUAAAGAACGGAGAGGCGUACAACCCACAGUGAAACACGGAGGUGGGAGUUUUAUGCCGUGGGGAUUCUUCAGUGUGUCUGGAUUUGGGAUUUUCGUCAAGGUGGAAGGAAUAAAGAAGAAGGGAAGAUGUGUGAAAGAAAACCUCAAGCCAUACUAAAUGAUAAACUUGGUCUGGGUCUUUGCUUUGUCUUCCAAAACGACAAUGACACGAAACAUACGUCCCUCCUGGUGAAGAACCACCUCCACAACACCAAAGUGAGCAAUACUGACAGGCUUGCACAAAGCUCAAGCUAAAGUCCAACAUAUUUGGAGAAGACUCAAAGAAGAGAUAUUCCAAGAAGAAUGAAGUCAGGAGACGUGUGUGAAAACUUGUUGAAAACUGUGAUAAAGUACUGCAGCCUGAAUAUAAGCAUCAGGAGGCCGAACAAUUGUGUUCUCAUCUGUAUUGUUGUGUUAAGCUAAAAAAAAAAGCCCAUUAAAAGCAAGUUAAUAUCUGAGAGCUGAGGGAUGCAUAAAGGUUUGUAAAUGCAUCAUCAGAAGAAGCUGAAAAAUGGUUUAUUGGUUUGAGUAAUUAUGAUGUGCAGCAGUUUAUGAUUUCAGAGAUCACUAAAGUCCCUGUUAGUCAGAGGUUGGACGUACAGUGCGUGGGGGGCUCAGGGCAGCGGUAGAGGAUUUUUCUAACCAAUAACAACAACGUGCAACAGCGAGUCAUAAGCAACAACCACAAUUCAUUGCGCCUCACCUACAGUGAGUUAUUACAGCUGAUUCAAUAAAGCUGGAGGAUUCACGGGAGAGAGAAUUAGUCAGAAUUAGUGUGGUGUAACAUCAUACAUUUCCCCCUAAUGCACGUUGAUAGCAUCUUUAAUUAGAGUCCCUUGCCUCCUGAACUUGUUUCAAACGCAUCCAGUAUUAAAUGCAGGCUUUCUAUUAAAAUGUAAAACGCUCGAGUGAAACGGCACCACGAGCACAUUAUUAUGGCUCUAUUUUUCAAACUUUGGAAAGCUUCUCCAGAGCUACAGACGAUAUCGCACGGCUGUUUUUAACAGGCCAACACUCCCUGCGAGGGGUAAAGUGAACAUCUUGCAUGAACUCAGAUUGGGAAUUCUGCACAAUCACUCAACGCUACAUGUUUCAUAGCAAACAUUACCAGGUUGACCCAAAAGCAUUAUUUAUAGACUGGUACAUAAGACUAGGAGGGAAGUUCCAGGGAAGGGAGGAAAGCUUUCCUCUUCAUGAGAAUCUCUGGGUACUGGUUUUACUGGUUUUCUUUUUCACUUCUCUCGAAGAACAGCUCACAUCUGCUUACAUGACGAGAAGCACUUUGUAGUUGUGUAAGUGUUUCAUAAAUAAGGCCGCCGCCGAUCGUGAGGCAGAAAACAACAGCGUUGUCCGGCGCUCUGAAAAACAGCAACAACGCGAAUGCUGCACGUCAGCCCAACAACAACAAUAACAGGCAUAUUAUAAAUAAUGCGUCCGCUUUCAAGCUG
Oreochromis aureus is the source of this 2407-nucleotide long non-coding RNA. NCBI's taxonomy places the organism in Eukaryota, Metazoa, Chordata, Actinopteri, Cichliformes, Cichlidae. The record is from Ensembl.